CGACGCUGGCGGCGUGCCUAAUACAUGCAAGUCGAGCGGACCUUCGAGGGAGCUUGCUUCCGAGAAGGUUAGCGGCGGACGGGUGAGUAACACGUAGGCAACCUGCCCUUUAGACCGGGAUAACAUUCGGAAACGGAUGCUAAGACCGGAUAAGCAGCCUCAUCGCAUGAGGGGGCUGGGAAAGACGGAGCAAUCUGUCACUAAAGGAUGGGCCUGCGGCGCAUUAGCUAGUUGGUGAGGUAACGGCUCACCAAGGCGACGAUGCGUAGCCGACCUGAGAGGGUGAACGGCCACACUGGGACUGAGACACGGCCCAGACUCCUACGGGAGGCAGCAGUAGGGAAUCUUCCACAAUGGGCGAAAGCCUGAUGGAGCAACGCCGCGUGAGUGAGGAAGGCCUUCGGGUCGUAAAGCUCUGUUGCCAGGGAAGAAUAAGGUCCAGUUCACUGCUGGACCGAUGACGGUACCUGAGAAGAAAGCCCCGGCUAACUACGUG
RNAcentral lists this ribosomal RNA (496 nucleotides) under uncultured Cohnella sp. RNAcentral describes it as "bacterial SSU rRNA". It matches the Rfam family "Bacterial small subunit ribosomal RNA", at positions 33 to 507 of the family's 1533-position model. The record is from RNAcentral. Lineage: Bacteria; Bacillati; Bacillota; Bacilli; Caryophanales; Paenibacillaceae.